UACGGGGGGGGCAAGCGUUGUUCGGAAUUACUGGGCGUAAAGGGCUCGUAGGUGGCCAACUAAGUCAGACGUGAAAUCCCUCAGCUUAACUGGGGAACUGCGUCUGAUACUGGAUGGCUUGAGUUUGGGAGAGGGAUGCGGAAUUCCAGGUGUAGCGGUGAAAUGCGUAGAUAUCAGGAGGAACACCAGUGGCGAAGGCGCCACUCUGGGCCGUAACUGACGCUGAGGAGCGAAAGCGUGGGUAGCAAACAGG
RNAcentral lists this ribosomal RNA (253 nucleotides) under uncultured bacterium. RNAcentral describes it as "partial 16S ribosomal RNA". It matches the Rfam family "Bacterial small subunit ribosomal RNA", at positions 524 to 776 of the family's 1533-position model. The record is from RNAcentral.